GGGACCAUGGGUUAGUGGUAUACUUCGAGCCUUGGGUGCUCGUGACCCCGGUUCGAAUCCGGGUGGUCCCA
RNAcentral lists this transfer RNA (71 nucleotides) under Halorubrum aquaticum. RNAcentral's name for it is "tRNA_Pro_TGG". It matches the Rfam family "tRNA". Rfam says of the family: Transfer RNA (tRNA) molecules are approximately 80 nucleotides in length. Their secondary structure includes four short double-helical elements and three loops (D, anti-codon, and T loops). The record is from RNAcentral. Lineage: Archaea; Methanobacteriati; Methanobacteriota; Halobacteria; Halobacteriales; Haloferacaceae. RNAcentral also lists the same sequence under 5 other names.